This 266-nucleotide ribosomal RNA is filed under the name uncultured bacterium. RNAcentral's name for it is "partial 16S ribosomal RNA". It matches the Rfam family "Bacterial small subunit ribosomal RNA", at positions 88 to 353 of the family's 1533-position model. The record is from RNAcentral.
AUGGCGACUGGCGCACGGGUGAGUAACACGUAUCCAACCUGCCGAUGACUCGGGGAUAGCCUUUCGAAAGAAAGAUUAAUACCCGAUGGCAUAGUUCUUCCGCAUGGUGGAACUAUUAAAGAAUUUCGGUCAUCGAUGGGGAUGCGUUCCAUUAGGUUGUUGGCGGGGUAACGGCCCACCAAGCCUUCGAUGGAUAGGGGUUCUGAGAGGAAGGUCCCCCACAUUGGAACUGAGACACGGUCCAAACUCCUACGGGAGGCAGCAUG